RNAcentral lists this ribosomal RNA (484 nucleotides) under uncultured bacterium. Its description in RNAcentral is "partial 16S ribosomal RNA". It matches the Rfam family "Bacterial small subunit ribosomal RNA", at positions 30 to 507 of the family's 1533-position model. The record is from RNAcentral.
AUUGAACGCUGGCGGCAGGCCUAACACAUGCAAGUCGAGCGGAUGAAGGGAGCUUGCUCCUGGAUUCAGCGGCGGACGGGUGAGUAAUGCCUAGGAAUCUGCCUGGUAGUGGGGGAUAACGUCCGGAAACGGGCGCUAAUACCGCAUACGUCCUGAGGGAGAAAGUGGGGGAUCUUCGGACCUACGCCUUUCGAAGGAGCCUAGGUCGGAUUAGCUAGUUGGUGGGGUAAAGGCUUACCAAGGCGACGAUCCGUAACUGGUCUGAGAGGAUGAUCAGUCACACUGGAACUGAGACACGGUCCAGACUCCUACGGGAGGCAGCAGUGGGGAAUAUUGGACAAUGGGCGAAAGCCUGAUCCAGCCAUGCCGCGUGUGUGAAGAAGGUCUUCGGAUUGUAAAGCACUUUAAGUUGGGAGGAAGGGCAGUAAGUUAAUACCUUGCUGUUUUGACGUUACCAACAGAAUAAGCACCGGCUAACUUCGUG